GACGAACCGUGCGAACGUUGUUCGGAAUCACUGGGCUUAAAGGGCGCGUAGGCGGCUUGUCAAGUCCGGGGUGAAAUCCUCCAGCUUAACUGGAGAAGUGCCUUGGAUACUGGCGAGCUCGAGUGAGGUAGGGGCAGUUGGAACUUCCGGUGGAGCGGUGAAAUGCGUUGAUAUCGGAAGGAACGCCGGUGGCGGAAGCGAACUGCUGGACCUCUUCUGACGCUGAGGCGCGAAAGCUAGGGGAGCGAACGGG
RNAcentral lists this ribosomal RNA (253 nucleotides) under uncultured bacterium. RNAcentral describes it as "partial 16S ribosomal RNA". It matches the Rfam family "Bacterial small subunit ribosomal RNA", at positions 524 to 776 of the family's 1533-position model. The record is from RNAcentral.